UUGGGGAAUUUGGGAUUUCUGGGAUUUUGGGGAAUUUAGGAUUGGGAUUUCUGGGAAUUGGGGAAUUUGGGAUUGGGAUUUCUGGGAAUUUGGGGAUUUUGGGAUUGGGAUUUUGGGGAAUUUGGGAUUGGGAUUUCUGGGAUUUCUGGGAAUUUAGGAUUGGGAUUUCUGGGAUUUUGGGGAAUUUGGGAUUUCUGGGAAUCCGGGCCCAGCAUUCCCAGGGAUUUUGGGGAAUUUGGGAUUGGGAUUUCUGGGAUUUGGGGAAUUUGGGAUUGGGAUUUUGGGGAAUUUAGGAUUGGGUUUUCUGGGAUUUUGGGGAAUUUGGGAUUUCUGGGAUUUUGGGGAAUUUGGGAUUGGGAUUUCUGGGAUUUGGGGGAAUUUGGGAUUGGGAUUUUGGGGAAUUUGGGGAAUUUGGGAUUGGGAUUUGGGAAUUUGGGAUUUCUGUGAGUCCCCGGUUUCCGUUUCCCGCAGAUCCCUCGGGGUUCGUGUUCGAUUCUCGCUCCGGGGCCGUGCGGGCUCAGGGCGGCGCCGAGAACAUGAGGGAGAAGGUGCAGGCCGUGCGCGCGGUCGUUCCCAACCGCAGCAACACCGAG
Molecule: long non-coding RNA, 593 nt
Filed under: Zonotrichia albicollis (white-throated sparrow)
Lineage: Eukaryota; Metazoa; Chordata; Aves; Passeriformes; Passerellidae
Description: lncRNA (ENSZALG00000001116.1)
Source: RNAcentral